This 1040-nucleotide long non-coding RNA is filed under the name Apis dorsata (giant honeybee). RNAcentral describes it as "uncharacterized LOC116186084, transcript variant X2". The record is from RNAcentral. Lineage: Eukaryota; Metazoa; Arthropoda; Insecta; Hymenoptera; Apidae.
AAUAAAAAUAAUUGCAGUUGAAAUAUAAUCAGCAGGAUAUUUUUUUGUCAUUUAAAAUUUCUUUCCAAAUUAAUAUAAAGCUUUAACAAGGGAAAAAAAAGGAAAAGGAAAAGAGAAUAGUUUCAUGACAGCUUCUCAAGGGGGACACUGAUGGCACCUCGUUUGGAGGCAAACUUUUUUUCACGAAGAUUCAGUGCGGCAAUAAAGACGCUGGCGGAUUUAACGUAGCGUGUCUUCGUUAAGCAAGUCAAACGUAGACCCAACUUUUCCCUUCUUGUCUUCUUGGUUUAAAAUAACUGGUUGUGUUCGAAACCUUCUCAUGUAAAAUUGACUAAACUAUGAAGGAAUCUCUACUUUAACUAUAACAUUUAUGAAAUAAAAUAGAUACUACUAAAAGUUAUUCUCAUUAUCCAAAUAAAAUAUGGAAAAGAAGAAGAAAAAUUGAAAAAGGUAUGAUAUCUUCCCCGACCUAUUGGCGCCAAAAUGAUCGUUAAUGUUUCUCUGUCGGUUGUUUUGUUUAAGUUUCAUCUACCCGUCGGAGCAGUUAGAACUUGUUUCCACAACGUCGAGACGUUAGUCUGCCACGAUCAUCGAGACUCGUAAAAAAACUCGUAAAAUUGUAGCAAUGAUACUACUGUCUGUCGUGGAUCUGAAGAAGGAAAAUUGGUAAAGUUUAGAGAAUCUAAUGGUGUCUAUUAUACGAUUUAGGGGUUAUUCUGAUAUUGUUUUACCUAACGACAAAUAACAGAAGUCGAGUGGGAAAAGAUGUUUACCUGAAGAGCUACCUCUAGAGAUGACACAGUUACUUAGCAUAGUUGUUGAUAUUCGAAUCAAAACUACUUCUUCAUGGGGAUCUGUUUAAUUACAGGAACUUUAAACAAACGAACUAGUUUCUAUAAACACGUGCUACUUGGCUGGAGGUAUACCGACGGAUACGUUAUAAUAGUUACUAUCAAAGAUUACUAUUUAGAUGUUUAGAUUCAUAAAUAUAAUAUAUCUAUAUAAUAUGCAUUAUACUCUUAUUUAUUUUAAUAAUAAUA